GGGGGGUGAAGGAGGAAGUGAAACGGGUUCUGGGUUCUUUAAGGGAGUGGGCGGUGAGAGUGGGACAAGGGUGAUGUCACCGCCUGUCGGGCCCCGCCCUCCUCCCUCCCGAAGGACCCCCCCUUACACUUACACACGCCGCUUCCGCUGCGCAAGUAGCCACGUCACGGGCAACCCCCGAAAUCCCCCCUCCCUUGGGGGGCGGGGGCCACGUGGGCCGUGGGGAACCGCGUGGCCCCGACGGGGAAGGGCAUAGAGGAUAUGGGAGCCACGCGAGAGGGGCCACUCGGGACCGCGGCUGUUACUGAGGCGGAGACACGGGUGAUGAUUGGCUUUCUGGGGAGAGAGGAAGUCCUGUGAUUGGCCAGAUCUCAGGAGCUCGCCGAC
Ailuropoda melanoleuca (giant panda) is the source of this 387-nucleotide long non-coding RNA. RefSeq lists it as uncharacterized. The record is from RefSeq and is a predicted model, not a curated record. Lineage: Eukaryota; Metazoa; Chordata; Mammalia; Carnivora; Ursidae. The transcript is spliced from 2 exons.